RNAcentral lists this ribosomal RNA (208 nucleotides) under uncultured bacterium. RNAcentral's name for it is "partial 16S ribosomal RNA". It matches the Rfam family "Bacterial small subunit ribosomal RNA", at positions 568 to 774 of the family's 1533-position model. The record is from RNAcentral.
UGCGUAGGCGGCUAAAUAAGUCAGAGGUGAAAUGCUACGGCUUAACUGUGGAAUUGCCUUUGAAGCUAUAUAGCUAGAAUAGAGUUGAGGUUGGCGGAAUGUGACAUGUAGCGGUGAAAUGCAUAGAUAUGUCAUAGAACAUCGAUUGCGAAGGCAGCUAACUGGGCUUUUAUUGAUGCUGAGGCACGAAAGGCGUGGGGAUCAAACA